Molecule: ribosomal RNA, 497 nt
Filed under: uncultured bacterium
Lineage: Bacteria
Description: partial 16S ribosomal RNA
Rfam family: Bacterial small subunit ribosomal RNA
Source: RNAcentral
GAUGAACGCUGGCGGCGUGCCUAAUACAUGCAGGUCGAGCGAACAGACGAGGAGCUUGCUCCUCUGACGUUAGCGGCGGACGGGUGAGUAACACGUGGAUAACCUACCUAUAAGACUGGGAUAACUUCGGGAAACCGGAGCUAAUACCGGAUAAUAUAUUGAACCGCAUGGUUCAAUAGUGAAAGACGGUUUUGCUGUCACUUAUAGAUGGAUCCGCGCCGCAUUAGCUAGUUGGUAAGGUAACGGCUUACCAAGGCGACGAUGCGUAGCCGACCUGAGAGAGUGAUCGGCCACACUGGAACUGAGACACGGUCCAGACUCCUACGGGAGGCAGCAGUAGGGAAUCUUCCGCAAUGGGCGAAAGCCUGACGGAGCAACGCCGCGUGAGUGAUGAAGGUCUUCGGAUCGUAAAACUCUGUUAUUAGGGAAGAACAAAUGUGUAAGUAACUAUGCACGUCUUGACGGUACCUAAUCAGAAAGCCACGGCUAACUACGUG